Long non-coding RNA from Heterocephalus glaber (naked mole-rat), 1044 nucleotides. Lineage: Eukaryota; Metazoa; Chordata; Mammalia; Rodentia; Bathyergidae. The record is from Ensembl.
AGUUGUUUGGCUUCCCUCUGUGUCUCCGGCUCUGGUGGUGAUUGCACGGUGAGGAAAUGCAAUGUUGCCUGAACUUUGCAAGCUGAGACUUGCUGGCAGGCCCAGGACCAGGCUGGCUGCAGCUCUGCCAGCCCUGUGUCCUGCUGCUCAGGGGAGACAGAUAGCAACGAGAUGGAAUUAGCCUAGAUCAGUACAAUGUCAUGAAAAUCCUCUUUUACAACUUCGGGAGGAGGUUGAAAGUAGGUCAUCAGGUGAUUCGGCUACCAAUGAUGACUUGGAUCCUGUAAGCCAAAGAAGAUGUGACAGUGAGAUGGAGCAAGAUGUGCCACAUCGAGAAGUACAGAAUGAAGACCCCUGAUUCAGAUGAGGAAGAAAACAGUAAUGUAAAUGAAUAUUUGACUAGUCAAAAUGUUACAAAAUGAUCAUGUAUACGUGAGUGAUGCAACAUUAGAACUGGGUUGAAAAAUGUUAUUAGGUUCCUGCCAGGGUGAAACCUGUUGACAGAAUGCCAACACCAUGAUUCAGUGCUGACAUCCACUGUGAUCCAAUGUCUGUAAUGGAUGAUAUGCUACAAGAUGUUUUGAAGUAGACUAAUAAUGAAAUACAAGUAAAACAUUCUUUUUACAUCAGUAGUAAUGCCCAAAAAUAUAUUUAUCAUGACAUCUCACUGUCUGAACUAAAAGUCUUCAUAGCAGGACUUUAUUAUUCUGAUCAUUAGAAUCCAAAGGAUUUAUGGAGAAGUGACAGAUGUGGUAUUGAGAUUUUUAGAACAAUGAUAACACUUAAGAGACUUGGUUUCCUUCAAAAUUGUCUAUGUUUUGACAACAAAAAGACCUGCCAAGAAAGAAAAAAUUCUGACAACUUAGCGUCGAGACAUUUGCCCUUGAGUGGUUGUCUUGAUGGUACAUCCCAGUUGGUUGAAUUUUCCAGCAACCCUCUGUGGUUUCCUGUCCUUUAGGCUCUCUUCUAGAUAGGGAAUUUGUCUCUGCUCACACACUCUCAGGUCCUGUUCAGUCUUACUGAAUGCUGUGGCUCCUUACUGGC